Molecule: long non-coding RNA, 287 nt
Filed under: Gallus gallus (chicken)
Lineage: Eukaryota; Metazoa; Chordata; Aves; Galliformes; Phasianidae
Source: RNAcentral
CGGGGGGCGCGCGCGCGCGGCGCCGGAGGUGCAGCGGUACGGCGGCCGGGAGGGGCGGUCUGUCCGUCUGUCUGUCCGUCUGUCCUGGGGCGGGGGGAGGUCUGUCCGACCGGCGGUAGGGAAGGGGAAUCGUCUGCCCGUCUGUCUGUCCACGGAUCGGGGAGGAAGGCUCCGUCCUGAAGGAGCGAGGGCGUCAGGGAGCCCCGCCAUGAGCUCCAAGGCCAAGCGGGUAUUGCCCACCCGCCCUGAGCCGCCCACCGUGGAGCAGCUCCUGGCCGACGUGCGGG